RNAcentral lists this unclassified non-coding RNA (2758 nucleotides) under Hevea brasiliensis (rubber tree). Lineage: Eukaryota; Viridiplantae; Streptophyta; Magnoliopsida; Malpighiales; Euphorbiaceae. The record is from RNAcentral.
GAAAGAUUUCCCUGGGUUUUUAAACGGGUAUUAAUGGAGGAAAAAGAAAUUUCUUAAAAAAAAAAAAUUUGUUUUAUGUACCGAUAAAACUGUGUCCAAGCAACCACCAAUUUGUUUUCAUGCACAGAUUACAGAGGAAACUUCAACGUGUGGUCUCGCGAAUGAACUCACUUCAAUCCGCCGAUUUAUCUCUGUAACUCCUUUUGCAGAACCCCAAAAAUCCCUGCUUCCAAGACAUCACAACAAUAUCCAAGAACCCAACAAGAUUAUCAAGAAACUGCAGAUAGAUGAUAGACAGGAUAAGGUUGCCCAUGGAGAACGUGAAGGAGAAUGGAACCAUGAAAAAUUAUGAAGUGGAGACACCCAAAAAUAUAACCAUCAAAGGUAUUCUAAGUUUGCUGAUGCAAAGUAUUGAUGAGAAAGAUGAUAGGAGUGCGAUUUCUCUGGGUAUGGGUGACCCUUCUACUUAUUCUUGCUUUCACACCACACCUAUUGCUCAACAAGCUGUUGUUGAUGCUCUUCAAUCUGACAAGUUCAAUGGUUAUUCCCCUACUGUUGGCCUUCCUCAAACUAGAAGGGCAAUUGCUGAUUACCUAUCUCGUGAUCUUCCUUACAAGUUGUCAUCUGAUGAUGUUUUCAUCACAUCUGGUUGCACACAAGCCAUUGAUGUUGCUUUGGCAAUGCUUUCUCAUCCGGGUGCGAACAUCUUACUCCCAAGGCCAUGCUUCCCCAUUUAUGAACUUUGCGCUGCGUUUAGGGGUCUUGAAGUUCGACACUUUGAUCUUCUCCCGGAGAAAGGUUGGGAGGUUGAUCUUGAUGCAAUUGAGGGUCUUGCAGAUCAGAAUACUGUCGCAUUGGUUAUCAUAAACCCUGGGAAUCCUUGUGGGAAUGUAUACUCUUAUCAACAUUUGAAAGAGAUUGCAGAGACGGCAGAAAAGCAUAAAAUUCUUGUUAUUGCUGAUGAAGUUUAUGGACACCUUGCUUUUGGGAAUAAUCCAUUUGUGCCAAUGGGAGUUUUUGGAUCCAUUGUUCCUGUUCUUACCCUUGGUUCUCUAUCAAAGAGAUGGAUAGUGCCUGGAUGGCGACUUGGCUGGUUUGUGACGACUGAUCCAUCUGGCAUGUUUAGAAAACCAAAGGUUGUUGAUCGUAUUAAGAAGUACUUCGACAUUUUGGGAGGACCUGCAACCUUCAUCCAGGUUUGUGUAUUUCUAUUCUUAUUUGAAUAUACUGUCAUCCCCAACCCCCCUCCCACCUUCUCCUUCUCCUCUUUCCACCUCUUUCCUUUAGUUCAAAAUUUUGUUUUCUCUGGAUGAUGCUGUUUGUGUUCCACAUUGUCCAAAGCUACGAAUGUGAAGAUGCCAACAUUUUUUAUAUAGAUUUGAUGAAAUGUAAUCUAUACUGUUCAUUGUCCUUAGAGUACAAGAAAUAAGCAAUGGCAGGGGAGGGAUAUUGAAAUACCUUUCUUGAUUAGCUGCGGCUAUUCUUGAUUAAAUGAAUGAAUGUGCAAAGCUUGAGUUAAAUGUUGUAGUCCUGUAUGAAACAAUAGUUGCUUGUUUCAUGCUUCACAUUUAAAGUAAUUUUUCAAUGUUAACUUUUUUAAUGUCUUGAGUUUUGAGAGAAGCUGAGAACCUUGAGUUUUCAUUUAGAUUUUAUUCAUGCAAGUACCAUCUACGCCCCAUCCACCCUCUUUCUUUUCUUUCCCCCCCUGAUUUGCAGUUGGAAUCAUUUGGUAUGUUAGGCAGCAGUACCUUGCAUUCUUGAGCAAACAGAUGAAGUUUUUUUCAAGAAAACCAUCAAUAUACUGAAGCAGGCAUCAGAGAUUUGUUGUGAUAGGAUAAAGGAGAUCCCUUGCAUCACUUGUCCGCACGAGCCUCAGGGAUCUAUGGCUGUUAUGGUGAGGAAAGGGAAGAAUUUGCAGUUCUGUUUGCAUUUAAAUAAAUGGGAUUACAUUACAACUCUGAUCUUGUUUGUUGAACUGUUAAUUUAAUGCAGAUGAAACUGAAUCUUUCACUAUUGGAAGAUAUCUCUGAUGAUAUUGAUUUCUGCUUCAAAUUGGCCAAAGAAGAAUCUGUUAUUAUUCUUCCAGGUAAGAAAUAUAUGAUCAGAGAACCAUGUAAUCCUCGCUAACUGGCCAUUACUUGUUUCCAACUUUAUGCUAACUUUUACCUUAUUGAGUUCUGAAUCUUUCACCUGAUGACAUUUGCAAGCAUAACAUCUUCUAGAGGCUAACAAGUGCGCUGAGAAUUAUAUGCUUUUGCAGGAACUGCAGUGGGCCUAAAAGAUUGGCUUCGUAUAACUUUCGCUGCUGAUCCAGCAUCGCUUGAAGAAGCUUUAGGGAGGGUAAAAUCUUUCUGUCAAAGGCACACCAAAUAUAUAUACUAAACUACUAAUAAUAAAAAAUCAGACACUGGCCAGUGCAGCUAUCAAUGAUCACAUGAUAGAUUCUUCCUAGUGGAGAAGCUGUUGAAACUUGAAAGUGGUUAUAUGCAAGCUCUCAAUGGCCAUAUCGUUUAAUUUUUAAACAAAAACAGACCUUAAAGUAUCUGUGUCUGAUAGGUACAGAAAAGAAAGGACUGCUAGACAUGAACUUAACCAGAGUUCAAUGCAUACAAGUCCAUGUGACAUAUAGAUGACAAAUUUUACUAUUUGAAGGUCUUGCUGAUAAAAAAUCUCCUUGCAAUAGUUUCAUUGGAAUGUAUUAAACACUAUUCAAAAUUUUAAGCACCUCAAUUCAAUUUAAGAUUCUCUUUUUUUUUUA